AGCGCCAGCUGGGUUGUAAAACAUGUUCAAGAAGCUACACUGUAAGUCACACAAUAUAGUAAGUCCAUGCAUAUUUGUAUUUACAAGUAGAUCUUCCACAAUCCAUUGAUUAGACUGGAAGACUCCUGACAGAACAAGAUAUUUACGUAUUUCUGGACUGGAUUUGUGGAGUGGCGUGUUCACAAUUCUGAUGGUAACACAGUUGCAAAAAUCAGGCUUAUUUGAAACUACUCAAAAAACUGUUUGAAAAUAAAACUGUGAUGAAACAGUCAAUAUGACAUAUUACUUCGAAGCAUGUUUUAAAAAUAAGCAUAAAUCAUUAUAUUGUCACCUGAAGCCAUGAAAAUUUACAAACCUGGAGCUUCUGGAUCACUUAAUGUAUUUUCCACAUCUGUAUUAUAUUCAUAUGAAACUGUAAAUUAAAUAUGAAAAAUAAGUAUUGUUGAAAUAAAAUUAUUUUAUAUACUUGAUUAUUUUAACUUGCGUCCAUAAUGUGUCUGUCAAUAGCUAAAUGUAGGUCCUUAGUUGAAAACUGACAAAUUAAAACCUUACAUACACUUGCAACUUGACAUAUGGCAAUCUAAUGGAAGGAGUUGGGCCACUCUCUUCUAUUCAUGUGUUAUACUCUAUGUAUGAAAUCUACAUCCACAAGAACCAUUAGCCUCCAUCAAUUUUUUAAUAAUUAUUUUAACAGGAAUAAAAAAAACGCAAUCUUCCCCUAUCCUCAAAGUUCUCAAGGAGCUUCUUUACUGAUCUCCAGGAGGACUACUGGUGAUGAUCUACAGAAGACAAAAGCCAGAAAUCAGACCUUGAGAAAUAUGUACAUUCACUUCUGGCAUCACAGAUCUAGAGCAACUUACCUUUUUUUUUUUUUUGUUGUUGCCUAGCUAAAUAUGCGGAUUAUUUUCCUCUGUGACUACAAUUCUUUGCAAUGGUAUUAAUAUGCUCAGUAUGAUCCAUCUGACAAUGCAUGGUACUAAAGGUAAAGCAACUAUUCUUUCACUUGGAGCCAUCGCAGCUUAAAUUCUAAAUUGGUAACUGGAAAGCAGUAGUCUCCCACAAAGACAGGGAUAAGUAGUUUUAGAUGCAUCUAAGAAAAUUAUUUUUCUGUCGCAUUUGGCAUCAAACAGAACUGUAAAGUCCAGAACUAACACUGAGCCAAAGAUAAGAACCUUAGUCCAAACAGCAAUCAAUGUC
Molecule: long non-coding RNA, 1197 nt
Filed under: Strigops habroptila (Kakapo)
Lineage: Eukaryota; Metazoa; Chordata; Aves; Psittaciformes; Psittacidae
Description: lncRNA (ENSSHBG00005001591.1)
Source: RNAcentral